Molecule: ribosomal RNA, 433 nt
Filed under: uncultured bacterium
Lineage: Bacteria
Description: partial 16S ribosomal RNA
Rfam family: Bacterial small subunit ribosomal RNA
Source: RNAcentral
AACGAACGCUGGCGGCAUGCCUAACACAUGCAAGUCGAACGAGACCUUCGGGUCUAGUGGCGCACGGGUGCGUAACGCGUGGGAACCUGCCCUUAGGUUCGGAAUAACUCCCCGAAAGGGGUGCUAAUACCGGAUAAUGUCUUCGGACCAAAGAUUUAUCGCCUUUGGAUGGGCCCGCGUUGGAUUAGCUAGUUGGUAGGGUAAAAGCCUACCAAGGCGACGAUCCAUAGCUGGUCUGAGAGGAUGAUCAGCCACACUGGGACUGAGACACGGCCCAGACUCCUUCGGGAGGCAGGAGUGGGGAAUAUUGGACCAUGGGCGGAAGCCUGAUCCAGCAAUGCCGCGUGAGUGAUGAAGGCCUUAGGGUUGUAAAGCUCUUUUACCCGGGAUGAUAAUGACCGUUACGGGAGGAUUAGCUCCGGCUAACUCCGUG